UUGAACGCUGGGGGCAGGCUUAACACAUGCUUGUCGAGCGGAGUGAUGGUGCUUGCACUAUCACUUAGCGGCGGACGGGUGAGUAAUGCUUAGGAAUCUGCCUAUUAGUGGGGGACAACAUUUCGAAAGGAAUGCUAAUACCGCAUACGUCCUACGGGAGAAAGCAGGGGAUCUUCGGACCUUGCGCUAAUAGAUGAGCCUAAGUCGGAUUARCUAGUUGGUGGGGUAAAGGCCUACCAAGGCGACGAUCUGUAGCGGGUCUGACAGGAUGAUCCGCCACACUGGGACUGAGACACGGCCCAUACUCCUACGGGAGGCAGCAGUGGGGAAUAUUGGACAAUGGGCGCAAGCCUGAUCCA
Molecule: ribosomal RNA, 359 nt
Filed under: Acinetobacter sp. 486(2010)
Lineage: Bacteria; Pseudomonadati; Pseudomonadota; Gammaproteobacteria; Moraxellales; Moraxellaceae
Description: bacterial SSU rRNA
Rfam family: Bacterial small subunit ribosomal RNA
Source: RNAcentral